RNAcentral lists this long non-coding RNA (1249 nucleotides) under Chlamydomonas reinhardtii. RNAcentral describes it as "long non-coding RNA (CREI_LNC001338)". The record is from RNAcentral. Lineage: Eukaryota; Viridiplantae; Chlorophyta; Chlorophyceae; Chlamydomonadales; Chlamydomonadaceae.
UGGAUUACAUGCCACCUUAGCCGGCGUCGCGGCAGUAGGUGUAUGUCUUUAUGAUCGCCGGAGUGACCGGUCGAAUUCGCUUAAUGAUGGUCUUCUCGAGGACAGGGGUCGCGGGGAUAACCUCCGCUCACACAAACCACACGUUUUGAUUGCCAAGACCUGAGCAGUUGGCAACUUAUCAUACACAACAAAGGGAGUACCUCAAUCCACUCCCCAUUCCGCUGUACCACACCACCUCCACAGCAUCCAACCAGCAUCCGAUCGAGACCGCUAGUCAGCAUCGCUGCUUCCACGCAGCCUCGUCCGCUUCCAUCCCUGCAGUUUACCUCCCCCUGCAGUCGCUGCCGCCCGCCGCACACGUCGCUCCAGCGCAAGCAAAAUAGCCAGAGGCAGCGCAGCUAAGGCUCUCGCGCGUGCCGGGGGGCAUCGCACACGCUCUUACGCGCACAGGCACUCACAACCUAGCCGACUCAACAAUGUCAAAAUGAGCGAGCUGCUUAGAGCCCCUUGCCGUUGUUCAGGCCGUCAGCGAACUUGGCCAGAGAGCCCAGGGCGCCCUCGCCAGUCGACAGAGCCUGCACACCGUAGCCGAAGAAGGAGACCAUCGCCAGGCGGGCGUGCUUGAUCUCAGCGGUCUUCAGGCGGAAGGCGCGCUCCUCGUCCUCAGAGGCCAGCUUGAGGGGGUCGAACACGCCGCCGGGGUAGCAGCGCUUCUCGGGGUUGGUCUCGCUGUUGCGGUAGAACUCAGCGCCACCGACCAGGAUCACCUCAAUCCAGAUCAGCUGGGUGAUGGAGAAGGGCAGGGACAGGCCGGCGUACGAGGCGCCGUCCAGCUCGACCUUGCCGGCCUCAACCCUGGGGUGAGGGGAAGUCCACACGGUGGGCACACGUCAGCGAGAUUACAUCGACGUAGCAAUUAUGACGCAACAACUCAAGCUCGCGCCAAUGCAAGACUAGUAAACCGGCCCGACGACGGGUGUUGCUAGUGAUCAGGGCCGACAUGUCAACCCGAAUCAGCCUGAUCUACAGAUCUGAACGCGCCGCACUGAACCCAGACUCACCAAGACACACCGGUGGUGGCCUCAGCCACCAGGGCGCCCAGGCAGGCAAGCAUGGCCCAGCGGCCGUGAAUCAGCUCGCACUCGCGGAAGCGAGCCAGGCCGAACACCUCCGAGUAGGGAGCCAGGCGGUUCUCCGAGCUAACCUCAUCGGGGGUAGCCUGGACGAUGGCCUCGACGGAGCCCUUGUU